Molecule: ribosomal RNA, 465 nt
Filed under: uncultured Klebsiella sp.
Lineage: Bacteria; Pseudomonadati; Pseudomonadota; Gammaproteobacteria; Enterobacterales; Enterobacteriaceae
Description: bacterial SSU rRNA
Rfam family: Bacterial small subunit ribosomal RNA
Source: RNAcentral
CCUACGGGAGGCAGCAGUGGGGAAUAUUGUACAAUGGGCGCAAGCCUGAUGCAGCCAUGCCGCGUGUGUGAAGAAGGCCUUCGGGUUGUAAAGCACUUUCAGCGGGGAGGAAGGCGUUAAGGUUAAUAACCUUGUCGAUUGACGUUACCCGCAGAAGAAGCACCGGCUAACUCCGUGCCAGCAGCCGCGGUAAUACGGAGGGUGCAAGCGUUGAUCGGAAUUACUGGGCGUAAAGCGCACGCAGGCGGUCUGUCAAGUCGGAUGUGAAAUCCCCGGGCUCAACCUGGGAACUGCAUUCGAAACUGGCAGGCUAGAGUCUUGUAGAGGGGGGUAGAAUUCCAGGUGUAGCGGUGAAAUGCGUAGAGAUCUGGAGGAAUACCGGUGGCGAAGGCGGCCCCCUGGACAAAGACUGACGCUCAGGUGCGAAAGCGUGGGGAGCAAACAGGAUUAGAUACCCGUGUAGUC